UACGUAGGGUGCAAGCGUUGUCCGGCAUUAUUGGGCGUAAAGAGCUCGUAGGCGGUCUGUCGCGUCGGCUGUGAAAACUCGGGGCUCAACUCCGAGCUUGCAGUCGAUACGGGCAGGCUAGAGUUCGGCAGGGGAGACUGGAAUUCCUGGUGUAGCGGUGAAAUGCGCAGAUAUCAGGAGGAACACCGGUGGCGAAGGCGGGUCUCUGGGCCGAUACUGACGCUGAGGAGCGAAAGCGUGGGGAGCGAACAGG
RNAcentral lists this ribosomal RNA (253 nucleotides) under uncultured bacterium. Its description in RNAcentral is "partial 16S ribosomal RNA". It matches the Rfam family "Bacterial small subunit ribosomal RNA", at positions 524 to 776 of the family's 1533-position model. The record is from RNAcentral.